RNAcentral lists this unclassified non-coding RNA (337 nucleotides) under soil metagenome. RNAcentral describes it as "partial contains 5.8S ribosomal RNA, internal transcribed spacer 2, and large subunit ribosomal RNA". The stretch from base 1 to 120 matches the Rfam family "5.8S ribosomal RNA", at positions 35 to 154 of the family's 154-position model. The record is from RNAcentral.
GAUGAAGAACGUAGCGAAAUGCGAUAAGUAGUGUGAAUUGCAGAAUUCAGUGAAUCAUCGAAUCUUUGAACGCACAUUGCGCCCCUUGGUAUUCCAUGGGGCAUGCCUGUUCGAGCGUCAUUUGUACCCUCAAGCUAAGCUUGGUGUUGGGUGUUUGUCCACUCCCUCGUGUUUGGACUCGCAUUAAAACAAUUGGCAGCCAGUGUUUUGGUAUUGAAGCGCAGCACAAUUUGCGAUUCUAGCCUAGAAUACUAGCAUCCAUCAAGUCAUUUUUAACGCUUGACCUCGGAUCAGGUAGGGAUACCCGCUGAACUUAAGCAUAUCAAUAAGCGGAGGA